AACGCUGGCGGCGUGCCUAAUACAUGCAAGUAGAACGCUGAAGAGAGGAGCUUGCUCUUCUUGGAUGAGUUGCGAACGGGUGAGUAACGCGUAGGUAACCUGCCUUGUAGCGGGGGAUAACUAUUGGAAACGAUAGCUAAUACCGCAUAACAAUGGAUGACACAUGUCAUUUAUUUGAAAGGGGCAAUUGCUCCACUACAAGAUGGACCUGCGUUGUAUUAGCUAGUAGGUGAGGUAAUGGCUCACCUAGGCGACGAUACAUAGCCGACCUGAGAGGGUGAUCGGCCACACUGGGACUGAGACACGGCCCAGACUCCUACGGGAGGCAGCAGUAGGGAAUCUUCGGCAAUGGGGGCAACCCUGACCGAGCAACGCCGCGUGAGUGAAGAAGGUUUUCGGAUCGUAAAGCUCUGUUGUAAGUCAAGAACGGGUGUGAGAGUGGAAAGUUCACACUGUGACGGUAGCUUACCAGAAAGGGACGGCUAACUACGUGCCAGCAGCCGCGGUAAUACGUAGGUCCCGAGCGUUGUCCGGAUUUAUUGGGCGUAAAGCGAGCGCAGGCGGUUUGAUAAGUCUGAAGUUAAAGGCUGUGGCUCAACCAUAGUUCGCUUUGGAAACUGUCAAACUUGAGUGCAGAAGGGGAGAGUGGAAUUCCAUGUGUAGCGGUGAAAUGCGUAGAUAUAUGGAGGAACACCGGUGGCGAAAGCGGCUCUCUGGUCUGUAACUGACGCUGAGGCUCGAAAGCGUGGGGAGCGAACAGGAUUAGAUACCCUGGUAGUCCACGCCGUAAACGAUGAGUGCUAGGUGUUGGAUCCUUUCCGGGAUUCAGUGCCGCAGCUAACGCAUUAAGCACUCCGCCUGGGGAGUACGACCGCAAGGUUGAAACUCAAAGGAAUUGACGGGGGCCCGCACAAGCGGUGGAGCAUGUGGUUUAAUUCGAAGCAACGCGAAGAACCUUACCAGGUCUUGACAUCCCGAUGCUAUUUCUAGAGAUAGAAAGUUACUUCGGUACAUCGGUGACAGGUGGUGCAUGGUUGUCGUCAGCUCGUGUCGUGAGAUGUUGGGUUAAGUCCCGCAACGAGCGCAACCCCUAUUGUUAGUUGCCAUCAUUCAGUUGGGCACUCUAGCGAGACUGCCGGUAAUAAACCGGAGGAAGGUGGGGAUGACGUCAAAUCAUCAUGCCCCUUAUGACCUGGGCUACACACGUGCUACAAUGGUUGGUACAACGAGUUGCGAGUCGGUGACGGCGAGCUAAUCUCUUAAAGCCAAUCUCAGUUCGGAUUGUAGGCUGCAACUCGCCUACAUGAAGUCGGAAUCGCUAGUAAUCGCGGAUCAGCACGCCGCGGUGAAUACGUUCCCGGGCCUUGUACACACCGCCCGUCACACCACGAGAGUUUGUAACACCCGAAGUCGGUGAGGUAACCUUUUGGAGCCAGCCGCCUAAGGUGGGACAGAUGAUUGG
This 1462-nucleotide ribosomal RNA is filed under the name Streptococcus thermophilus. RNAcentral describes it as "bacterial SSU rRNA". It matches the Rfam family "Bacterial small subunit ribosomal RNA". The record is from RNAcentral. Lineage: Bacteria; Bacillati; Bacillota; Bacilli; Lactobacillales; Streptococcaceae.